GUAAACAGUAGACUGUACCCUAGAAAUGGAUGCAUGCUAACACACUAGUAGUCUAGUACUAAUAAUUUACUGGUUAUUUCAAAGUUAAGUUCUCUAAAUCUCCCAGUAGUUUGCAUCACUAGUUUAUCCUUGUAUAUUCUGCAUUUUAUGAAUAUUCUAUUGUGGCAUUAGUAUCUUUUCAUCUUGCACCUGACUUCCCUAAUCCCUUU
RNAcentral lists this long non-coding RNA (209 nucleotides) under Populus trichocarpa (black cottonwood). RNAcentral describes it as "long non-coding RNA (PTRI_LNC001186)". The record is from RNAcentral. Lineage: Eukaryota; Viridiplantae; Streptophyta; Magnoliopsida; Malpighiales; Salicaceae.